RNAcentral lists this ribosomal RNA (417 nucleotides) under Microhyla nilphamariensis. RNAcentral describes it as "partial large subunit ribosomal RNA". It matches the Rfam family "Bacterial large subunit ribosomal RNA", at positions 1988 to 2571 of the family's 2925-position model. The record is from RNAcentral. Lineage: Eukaryota; Metazoa; Chordata; Amphibia; Anura; Microhylidae.
UAGUAUGAACGGCAUCACGAGGGUUACACUGUCUCCCUAUUCCAUUCAGUGAAACUGAUCUUCCCGUGAAGAAGCGGGAAUAUAAAUAUAAGACGAGAAGACCCCAUGGAGCUUUAAACUCAGUAUCAUCUGCCACUUCAAUACCCUCUUAAUUACGCAGACCAUGAUAACUAGUUUUCGGUUGGGGUGACCGCGGAGUAAAACAAAACCUCCACAACGAAAGGAACUAACAACCUAAUCCAAGAGCAACAUCUCUAAGAAUCAACAAAUUGACUUAAUUGAUCCAAUUACUUGAUCAACGAACCAAGUUACCCUGGGGAUAACAGCGCAAUCCAUUUCAAGAGCUCAUAUCGACAAAUGGGUUUACGACCUCGAUGUUGGAUCAGGGUAUCCCAGUGGCGCAGCAGCUACUAACGG